Neogale vison (American mink) is the source of this 867-nucleotide RNA transcript. It is a transcript of the gene named spermidine/spermine N1-acetyltransferase family member 2, with no coding region annotated. The record is from RefSeq and is a predicted model, not a curated record. The transcript is spliced from 7 exons. NCBI's taxonomy places the organism in Eukaryota, Metazoa, Chordata, Mammalia, Carnivora, Mustelidae.
CCCGGCCGGGAGCGUAGGCCCGUUCGAACCUCCCACCCCCACCCCGUCGGACCGGAGGGGAGGGUACUGGACUUCAGUCCCAGCCCGCGGGGUCCAGAUGGCUUCCGUGCGUAUCCGAGAGGCGGAGGAGGGCGACUGUGGACAGAUCCUGAAGCUGAUUCGGGUGACGGCUGCGGGCCGGGAAGCCGGGGCCCGCGAGGGGGAACUGGCCGAGUACGAGAAACUCUCGGACCAGGUGCAGAUCAGCGAAGAAGCGCUGAGAGCGGAUGGCUUCGGAGAGAACCCUUUGUACCGCUGUUUGGUGGCAGACCUUCCUCCCGCCCCCGGGGACACGCAGGGGCCGCGCGUGGUGGGGUAUGGGCUGUAUUACUUCAUCUACAGCACAUGGAAGGGGCGCACCGUUUAUCUGGAAGACAUCUACGUGACCCCGGAAUAUCGGGGUCAGGGGAUUGGCUCCAAAAUAAUCAGAAGGGUGGCACAGGUGGCCCUGGAUCAGGGCUGUUCCCAGUUCCGCCUGGCCGUCCUGGACUGGAACCAGAGAGCCAUGGCAUUGUACAAGGCCCUGGGAGCCCAGGAUCUGACUGAAGCUGAGGGCUGGCAUGCCUUUACCUUUGACGGAGAGGCCAUGAGGAAGCUGGCGGGAAAGUGAGGCCGUUCCUUGAGGAUCUACGUAGUGGACCUUCUCUUUACCUCCCCUGCUCAAGCACUCCGCAGAGACACUUGUGUCCCCUGGCGCAGGCCUCUGAAGGAAGAGAGGUUGGGAGUAACUAUACCCCAAAUAUGGACAGAGCAGAAUUGGGGGAGAGGCCUUUCCACCUCCUUGUUGAGGUGAACUCUACACCGAGCAUGGGGCUCAAACUCAGGACC